This 25-nucleotide non-coding RNA is filed under the name Mus musculus (house mouse). The record is from RNAcentral. Lineage: Eukaryota; Metazoa; Chordata; Mammalia; Rodentia; Muridae.
ACCAUGUUUUUCUCGUUGGCCAUGG